Labeo rohita (rohu) is the source of this 2071-nucleotide long non-coding RNA. RefSeq lists it as uncharacterized. Lineage: Eukaryota; Metazoa; Chordata; Actinopteri; Cypriniformes; Cyprinidae. The transcript is spliced from 4 exons. The record is from RefSeq and is a predicted model, not a curated record.
CAUCUGUAUUUGGAAUUAGGUUUGUACAGAGGAUUUGUUUGAGUAAGUCAGAUGAGAGAAAGAGAGAUCAGAGUUUAGCUUACGCAAUACCUCGAGGGAUGAAAAUGUUCUUUAGCCUUGUGGUCCGUGUUUGUGUGUGUCUAUGUGGCUUCCAGAUGGCAGGGAAGAAAACAGGCUGUAGCUGCGGUGGAUGGAAUCCCUGAUGAUCUGGAGAGCUCUUUGCCGGCAGCGAUGGUUGUUCAGGUCUUCGAUGGCCGGUAGCCGAGUUCAGUGACGCGCUGGGCAGUUUUGACUACCCGCUGAAGGGCUUUCCGGUCUGAGGAUGUGCAGCUGUCAUAGCAGACUGUGAUGCAGCAGAGAAAACGCAGGACAGGCCUACCUGAAGAUGGAGUCGAUGUGUCUCGGACGUCAUGUCUCCUGUCAGACGUGUAAGCUGAGAGACAGGAAUGGCAUGGCCGGUGAAGCCCCAGUGAGCAGGAGGGGUCAUCCUUCAGCUCAAAGACAGGCUGAGAGACAGCCACAUGGCACACAUCUCCAAAUGACAGCCUGUCACUGGCAGGAGAUCCACCAUACGGCCCUGUCACCUCUCACCUGACUGAACUCGGCCCACUGUAUUCUGGCGCUGAGGGGAAGCUGCGUCACUGUCAAACUAAUGGUGGUUAAAGAUUUGGUCAGUUAUCCGGAUGUGUGACCAUACUGGCCAUACUCAGAUGUAAACAACAGCAUGGAUUGCACGGUGCUGCCAUCCCCAGCGCAUUCACCUCACCAUAGCUCUCUUCAAAACAGAUUUGCGGGUCUAUCCGAGACAAAUAACUGGAGUUGGAGAAGGUGAGCCAUGCUGUUUUGACACACUGUUAGAACAUGAUGUUACAGAGUCAGACACCUGACUUGGGAAAAAGGUCAUCUGUUCAUCAUAGAUCAAAGUGGAGGACAGCACCUCUCAAAACAGUGGCGGAAAGCGGGCAGGAGGAGAUAAAAUGAAAUCUUCACAACAGGACUGAUGGACAUGUGGCUCAAAUACACCCUCCUGUGAGCUGUAGGGAGGGUGGGUGUCCUGCUGGCAGAUGUCCCUUCUAGUUUCAGAUGCCGCUUGACAAGAUUGCUCUGAGGUGAGGAAGACCAAAGCGUUCUGAGUAAUGAGACAGUUGCUUUCUUAAUGUUUGCUCUGACAUCGUUGCACAAGCACAAAAACGAGAAGACAUGUUUGACUAGUUCUGGCCUUUUUUGUAAGUAACAGUAACAGUGGGCAAAUAACAUUUGCUGCAUUUUAAAAUGUACAACAAUCAUUACAUUUCAUGGAAACUAACCGAUUUCGAUUGACUAUACAGUAUUUUCUUCUGCUCCUUUGCAACGGUGUUGUGUUUAGCACAACAUAUCCGUUUGCUCCUGACCUCAAUCAACAAACCCUCUCCAUCCCAUUCGGUGAGGACCAAUACAAGGAUGUCACUGGCAGACCUUGCCUUGCAUUUGAUUUAUGUUGCUCUAAAAGUAAAAAUCAAAGAUCCUCUCUAAUGCAGCUCUGUGGCAGUGGGAUGAUAUAUGAUGCAGCCGAGCAGUUAAAUGAGAGCACUAUGUCUCUGCCUGCGUUUUAAUGGCACGGUCAGAACUCUGACCCCACAUCUGAAUGACUUUACAGUACUUAAAAAGACAUCCUCAGACAGUGCUGAUUUGUAAAAGAAAGUCCUCGGGGCAAGCUUGUUUUGGCCAUGCAGUUUUGAUUACCCAGGAGACUGUUCGCAGGAAAUACAACAGAGACAUGCACAACAAACUUUUUAUAUUAGGUUUUCAGUGGAAUUUCACAUUGAGUGGCUUAGCAAAACAUUGAGAAAGAAAUGAACAUUUUAAUUACUGUAGCAAAUUCUAUUUCAUUGCUCAUUGUUUGUUUUUGCAAAGUCUGUUACUGUUUAACACAUUAAAAUAUUCAAAAGGCAGUUAUGACUCAGAUUUGUCUUUUCGUUUUUUUUCCCUUUCAAAAGCUGAAAGAAAUGUGUGAUGAAAAACAUUAUUACGUAUGGAAUAAAACAGAUAAUUAUGUAUUAUUUAUGCAAAGCAUGAAUAUAGUAGUAUUUAG